UGCUAAAAAUUUUAUCCAUCUGUACUAUUAAAAACUAGUGUGGCUUAUGGAAUAACCGGAUAAUGACACAUGGCAUGUCACCUGUACCUCAUGUUGAAGUACAAAGAUCAGUUUUUAAUGGUAAAAAUAGAUGAAAUUUUUAAUA
Non-coding RNA from Gossypium raimondii (Peruvian cotton), 145 nucleotides. The record is from Rfam. NCBI's taxonomy places the organism in Eukaryota, Viridiplantae, Streptophyta, Magnoliopsida, Malvales, Malvaceae.